AACGAACGCUGGCGGCAUGCCUAACACAUGCAAGUCGAACGAGACCUUCGGGUCUAGUGGCGCACGGGUGCGUAACGCGUGGGAACCUGCCCUUAGGCUCGGAAUAACUCCCCGAAAGGGGUGCUAAUACCGGAUAAUGUCUUCGGACCAAAGAUUCAUCGCCCUUGGAUGGGCCCGCGUUGGAUUAGCCGGUUGGUAGGGUAAAAGCCUACCAAGGCGACGAUCCAUAGCUGGUCUGAGAGGAUGAUCAGCCACACUGGGACUGAGACACGGCCCAGACUCCUACGGGAGGCAGCAGUGGGGAAUAUUGGACAAUGGGCGAAAGCCUGAUCCAGCAAUGCCGCGUGAGUGAUGAAGGCCUUAGAGUUGUAAAGCUCUUUUACCCGGGAUGAUAAUGACAGUACCGGGAGAAUAAGCACCGGCUAACUCCGUG
This 433-nucleotide ribosomal RNA is filed under the name uncultured bacterium. Its description in RNAcentral is "partial 16S ribosomal RNA". It matches the Rfam family "Bacterial small subunit ribosomal RNA", at positions 29 to 507 of the family's 1533-position model. The record is from RNAcentral.